GUCCACGGCCAUGCUACCCUGAACAACAAGCCGGAUCUCGUCUGAUCUCGGUAGCUAAGCAGAGUUGGGCCUGGUUAGUACAUGGAUAGGAGACCACCUAGGAAGACCAGGUGUUGUAGCUG
Ribosomal RNA from Pteropus vampyrus (large flying fox), 122 nucleotides. The record is from Ensembl. Lineage: Eukaryota; Metazoa; Chordata; Mammalia; Chiroptera; Pteropodidae.